AGUCACUGACAUUAGAUACCCCUGUAGUCCCAGCCGUAAACUAUGCGCGUUAGGUGUAUCGGUGACCACGAGUUACCGAGGUGCCGAAGGGAAACCGUGAAACGUGCCGCCUGGGAAGUACGGUCGCAAGGCUGAAACUUAAAGGAAUUGGCGGGGGAGCACCGCAACGGGAGGAGCGUGCGGUUUAAUUGGAUUCAACACCGUAAAACUCACCAGGGAAGACUGUUACAUGAAGGCCGAGAUGAAGACUCUGCUAGAUUUUCAG
RNAcentral lists this ribosomal RNA (265 nucleotides) under uncultured archaeon. RNAcentral describes it as "partial 16S ribosomal RNA". It matches the Rfam family "Archaeal small subunit ribosomal RNA", at positions 718 to 982 of the family's 1478-position model. The record is from RNAcentral.